AAGAGAGAGAGCCAUCUACAUAUAAGAAAGAGGAGGAGAAGAAGAAAGGGGUCACAGUUCAGGGUCCCUAUUAGAGAAGAGCAAAGAAGUCUGAUUCUUCCUUCCUUUCUUCACUUUUAUCCCCUCAAUCCAUUUCUGAUUUCAUUUCAUUUCAUAAUAAGGGAUAUCAUCAAAUAAACAACAACAACAGACAGACAAAUACCCCUCUUCCCUGUCCCCAAAGAGAUUCAAAAUGGAGAGAGAAACUGAAGUUAUACAGUCCAGGUUCAAGAGAAUUUGUGUCUUCUGUGGGUAGUAGCCAGGGGAAGAAAAGCAGCUACCAAGAUGCUGCCGUUGAGCUAGGAAUGGAAUUGGUUUCAAGGAACAUUGAUCUGGUUUAUGGAGGUGGAAGCAUAGGUCUAAUGGGUUUAGUUCUCAGGCAGUUCAUAAUGGUGGUCGUCAUGUUAUGGAGUGAUUCCCAAGACUCUGAUGCCUAGAGAGGUUUUCAUCUUCUAAUCUGAUUAUGUAUAAUCUGUACACAUGAUUAAUGUUGUGCCUUAUCCAUAGCACUGAACUACUGCAGUAUAUUUUGAUGGCUGACAUCUCAUUCAUUAUUAUUCUUAUACAUAUAUGGGUUCAAAAUAUGGUCACAUCUUUUUUCUCUUUUGAUUUUUUAUUAAAUAAUCAAAAUCCCCAAAGAGACAGCUAUGGGCAGUCUCCUUCCUGUCCUUGGCCCUUGGUCCUUUUUCUUUUUCCUUGGCCUUUUUCUCAAGAUUUCAGAUCAUUGUUUUGCCUUUUACUGUUCUAUUCCGACUUUGGAAUAGGAUUGAAGUAUAAAUUGGCUCUUUCUCUCCACCUUGCUCAAGGAUUUGCAGAAUCUUGGCAGGCUCUCAUCAUUGCUUUCACUGUUACAAGAAACAAGUGCAUAUAGACUAUUAUUAAUCCAAAACAAAACAAAAAAGCUUCAGAGAUUUUACUGGGGUUUGGUGUAAAUUUUGGUGCAGUUAAUGGUGAGACAGUAGGGGAAGUGAAGGCAGUUGCAGAUUAUGCAUCAAGGAAAGCAGAGAUGGCUAGGCAUUCUGAUGCUUUCAUUGCUUUACCGGGUGGAUAUGGGACACUUGAAGAGCUACUGGAAGUGAUAACUUGGGCUCAGCUUGGCAUACAUGACAACCUGUA
Impatiens glandulifera is the source of this 1155-nucleotide long non-coding RNA. RefSeq lists it as uncharacterized. NCBI's taxonomy places the organism in Eukaryota, Viridiplantae, Streptophyta, Magnoliopsida, Ericales, Balsaminaceae. The transcript has 4 exons. The record is from RefSeq and is a predicted model, not a curated record.